UAUUCCGAUAAAGAAUAUUCCAAAAUUAUAAUAAAAUAAUUAUGAUUAUCGAUUUUUUUCAAAAAGCUGAAAAUUAAAUUCAUAAAUGGUAAAAUCCUUUACGUACACACUUGUAUAAAAUUUGAAAAAUAAUAUUUUCUAAUUAUUGAUUGAAUGUAUUCAAACAAUUAAUCACAAGUAACUAUCUAAAUUGGUGACAUUUGGCAACAGUGAGUAGACCUGGUUUAUUUUGAUGUAUAAAAUAACCUUAUAAACAAACAGUUGUUUAUUUAGAGUUAUUUAUUAUUGUUUUCUGAUAUUUUGCAAUUGUUAAGUUGGUUUACUUCGAAUUUAAUAUGCAUUACUGUGGUAUUUCUCCAGUUUUCUAAGAAGGUUGGUGAUUUUGAAUUGGGAUUAUGAUGAAUUUAACCCAAAGGCAAUGUGUGUUUAUUUAUGUGGCAAAAUUCCAGGCACCAUAAAAAUUUGCGUUUCUUCCUGUUGCCCAUGGAUGAAAAUCGGUUUGCAGAAUGAAAAGAAAUUGUUCAAUGUGAUAAACUUUCUAUGAACAGUCCUCAAUAUUGUUACAUUAACUUUUAAAUAUGCACUUUACAUCUUGAGGAGCAGGCCUUUGCAGAAAUACUGAAAAGCGGGUUGCAAAACAAUGCAAAAUAAAAUAAAUGAAAUAUGUCUUGAGAUUAAACAUUCAAGUUAAAGGUGUGUUCUUUCUUAAACUGGAAUGAUAAUUUUGUAAUUCUGUAGGCACAUCUAUUGAGAAGUUACAACCAGUGGCAAAGUGCCUUAAGGGAAUCUAUGACAUAUAUAAUUGAAGGGACAUCUCCUCUGAAGGAAUUACAAUUAUUUGCCAGUAUGUCAAAUGAAUUUUCAACAUCAGUCAUACUUUCAUAAAUUUAUUGAUGAAAAUAAAACUAGGUACAUGAUUUAUUAUUUACUUCCAAGGGAUUCUAAGAUACUAUGUGUAAAAAGUCCAAUAUGCAGUGAUGAGCAUGCUAAUAACUGGCAAAAUAUGGGAUAUAACGCCAAAGAUGGGAAACAUGGGAUGCAUUCUGAAGUAAAAAGAGAUGAAACUGAGAGAGAUUAUCAAUAUAAACAUAUAAAUUAACAUUACAUUACAUAGUUUCCCAGCUUUAGACAUAUCAGAUGAGUAUGAGAACUGUCAUUGUGCCAGGAGAAUUUUAUAAAAUACUCCUGUCACAGAGAUCUAAAGGUGGGAAACUAUGUAAUGUUAUUGUCGGCUAAGAGUGUUAACCUGCUAACUCCAUUUUUCACUGUGAGUGAUAUUGGGGUAGUUUCUAGGUCUGUGUACCUUCAUACCAUGUCCCACAAGCCCGCUGGUUCCACUGUAGUUUAGAGAUAGCUAUUUCUAAACUACAUUGGUGUCGGCGGGUUUGUGGGGUGGUGUAUGAAAAUACACGGACCCAGAAACUAGCCCAAUAUCACUCAAAGUGAAAAAUGGAGUUAGCAGGUUAAAACUCUUAUCCAAGGUUAUGUUAAUUUAUUCGUUUGUAACGAUAAGUUCCACUUCUACCAGUUUCAUCUCUUUUUAUCUCACAAGUUAAUAUGUUUUCCAUCUGUUGCGUUAUUUUGCCGGUUAUUAGUGUGAGUGCUCAUUAUUGUAUAUUUACGAUUCUGUGAUUUCUCAAUAUGAUGCUGAGUAGGUAUAUAGUAGGUAUCUACAACCCUUUCAAAACAGAAAUUUAUAAGUUCAUUUUAUGUACCUAUUAAACUUUAUUUUAAGGAUGAAUUUGAAAUGCUUGUAGGGAAUAUAUCUGUAAAAAAUAAAAUUGGUAUUGUAAAAUUGAAAUUCUCAAAAUAUAAUUUAUAAUUCAAAUGUAUUAUU
This 1837-nucleotide long non-coding RNA is filed under the name Diabrotica virgifera virgifera (western corn rootworm). Its description in RNAcentral is "uncharacterized LOC126887866". The record is from RNAcentral. Lineage: Eukaryota; Metazoa; Arthropoda; Insecta; Coleoptera; Chrysomelidae.